RNAcentral lists this long non-coding RNA (661 nucleotides) under Pongo abelii (Sumatran orangutan). Its description in RNAcentral is "lincRNA". The record is from RNAcentral. Lineage: Eukaryota; Metazoa; Chordata; Mammalia; Primates; Hominidae.
CAGAUCUGAAGCACUGGGUAUGAAGGCCAAGUAAAAAGCCUUGGUUCUGGGCGGGAUCCGCAGUCACAUUUCUAGAUUACCAGCUCACCCAGGACUUGAGAGACCAAUACCCAGGAGAAAAGGAAACCUCAGAGAGGUCUUAAUUUUCAUCCAGACUGCCUUCAGCCCACUUCUACUGACCACAAGCUUUUGGAUCCUGCCCUGGGUCUCUGAGCACAGCAGAAUACAGGAGAAUCCCUUUCUUCUGGAGACAUGAUGCCUUAUCUUCCCUCCCCAAGGGCCAUCUCCGCUUCAAUUCCACUGCCAGCCACAUCCUUGCUACUGCCCUCUACUUCCUAUUCCAGCCAAACUGUAUUAGUUUUUAAUUUAUUUCACUCAGUUAUUCUUAUUACAGUUUAAAUAUAGAAAAUACAAAAUAUGGAUAUUUAUUUUAUUUCCUAUUAUAAAAGCAUAUCCAUGUUAUCUUUGAUAUUGCUACUUGGUCCACACAGGUGGAUAGGUACUAUAUUUACCAUCUGAUCCUUUAUAGAAAAAGUUAGCUGACCCCUCGUCUAAACUAUGAAGACAGAAACAUCUGUUUUUUUCCUUAUUGUAGUCCCACAACAGGUGCAAAUGUGUCCUAAAUGAAUAUCAUUAAGUGAAUAAAUGAUGGAAAAAUUGU